Molecule: ribosomal RNA, 253 nt
Filed under: uncultured bacterium
Lineage: Bacteria
Description: partial 16S ribosomal RNA
Rfam family: Bacterial small subunit ribosomal RNA
Source: RNAcentral
UACGUAGGUGGCAAGCGUUGUCCGGAUUUAUUGGGUUUAAAGGGUGCGUAGGCGGCCCUGUAAGUCAGUGCUGAAAUAUCCCAGCUUAACUGGGAGGGUGGCAUUGAUACUGCGGGGCUAGAGUACAGAUGAGGUAGGCGGAAUUGACGGUGUAGCGGUGAAAUGCUUAGAUAUUAGGAAGAACACCAGUGGCGAAGGCGACUUUCUGGACUGUAACUGACACUGAGGCUCGAAAGCGUGGGGAGCAAACAGG